UACGUAGGGGGCAAGCGUUGUCCGGAUUUAUUGGGCGUAAAGAGCGUGUAGGCGGCCAGGUAGGUCCGUUGUGAAAACUGGAGGCUUAACCUCCAGCGGUCGAUGGAAACCAUCUGGCUAGAGUCCGGAAGAGGAGAGUGGAAUUCCUGGUGUAGCGGCGAAAUGCGCAGAUAUCAGGAAGAACACCCGUGGCGAAGGCGGCUCUCUGGGACGGUACUGACGCUGAGACGCGAAAGCGUGGGGAGCGAACAGG
RNAcentral lists this ribosomal RNA (253 nucleotides) under uncultured bacterium. RNAcentral describes it as "partial 16S ribosomal RNA". It matches the Rfam family "Bacterial small subunit ribosomal RNA", at positions 524 to 776 of the family's 1533-position model. The record is from RNAcentral.